This 447-nucleotide ribosomal RNA is filed under the name uncultured bacterium. Its description in RNAcentral is "partial 16S ribosomal RNA". It matches the Rfam family "Bacterial small subunit ribosomal RNA", at positions 29 to 523 of the family's 1533-position model. The record is from RNAcentral.
AGCGAACGCUGGCGGCAGGCUUAACACAUGCAAGUCGAACGGUCCUUCGGGAUAGUGGCGGACGGGUGAGUAACACGUGGGAACGUACCCUUAGGUUCGGAACAACACAGGGAAACUUGUGCUAAUACCGGAUAAGCCCUUCGGGGGAAAGAUUUAUCGCCUUUGGAGCGGCCCGCGUCUGAUUAGCUUGUUGGUGAGGUAAUGGCUCACCAAGGCUACGAUCAGUAGCUGGUCUGAGAGGAUGGCCAGCCACACUGGGACUGAGACGCGGCCCAGACUCCUACGGGAGGCAGCAGUGGGGAAUCUUGCGCAAUGGGCGAAAGCCUGACGCAGCCAUGCCGCGUGGAUGAUGAGGGUCUUAGGAUUGUAAAAUCCUUUCACCGGGGACGAUAAUGACGGUACCCGGAGAAGAAGCCCCGGCUAACUUCGUGCCAGCAGCCGCCGUAA